This 742-nucleotide ribosomal RNA is filed under the name uncultured marine bacterium. RNAcentral's name for it is "bacterial SSU rRNA". It matches the Rfam family "Bacterial small subunit ribosomal RNA", at positions 57 to 787 of the family's 1533-position model. The record is from RNAcentral.
GCAAGUCGAACGGCAGCAUAGAGAGCUUGCUCUCUGAUGGCGAGUGGCGAACGGGUGAGUAAUAUAUCGGAACGUGCCUAGUAAUGGGGAAUAACUAGCUGAAAGGUUAGCUAAUGCCGCAUACGACCUACGGGUGAAAGCAGGGGAUCUUCGGACCUUGCGUUAUUAGAGCGGCCGAUAUCUGAUUAGCUUGUUGGUGGGGUAAUGGCCUACCAAGGCGACGAUCAGUAGCUGGUCUGAGAGGACGAUCAGCCACACUGGAACUGAGACACGGUCCAGACUCCUACGGGAGGCAGCAGUGGGGAAUUUUGGACAAUGGGGGAAACCCUGAUCCAGCCAUUCCGCGUGAGUGAAGAAGGCCUUCGGGUUGUAAAGCUCUUUCGCAAGAGAAGAAAACUUGCUAUCUAAUAAAUAGUAAGUAUGACGGUAUCUUGACAAGAAGCACCGGCUAACUACGUGCCAGCAGCCGCGGUAAUACGUAGGGUGCAAGCGUUAAUCGGAAUUACUGGGCGUAAAGCGUGCGCAGGCAGUUUUAUAAGUCAGAUGUGAAAUCCCCGAGCUCAAACUUGGGAACUGCGUUUGAAACUGUAAGACUAGAGUGUGUCAGAGGGGGGUAGAAUUCCAAGUGUAGCAGUGAAAUGCGUAGAGAUUUGGGGGAAUACCAAUGGCGAAGGCAGCCCCUCUGGGAUAACACCUGACGUUCAUGCACGAAAGCGUGGGGAGCAAACAGGAUUAGAUACCC